GCGGGGCUCAGAUACAAUAGGCUGCGCAGUAGGACGUAUGGCUAGGGGCCGGUCGCGAGCGCAGCUCCUCACUGUACUUUGCUGGGCGAAGAAGGCACGCCACGCCCCGUCCGGCUCGUGACGUCACUCCGGCGCCGCUAGGAGCGUUUCCUACUUACCUCGCUCCCGGAUCAUUGUCGGGCUGGUCGCCCGUCCGCCCGGCUUCAGCCACUACCCAAAGGGCUCGAGCGGCCCUGCGGCCCGGAGACCCAGUGCGCGUCGCGAGAGCUCAGGAGCAGCGGACAGUGAGAGGAAAGCUAGCUGAGCAGAGGAAGCACGGCGACGCAGCCACAGUUUUGGAACAGUACGCCCAGCUGGAAUAAUUCAACAUAUCUACUACAGAAAGAAAACAAACCCACUAGAGCCAAGCAGGAAAGCAGUGCCUCCUCUGGCUUUAUCCCGGUUUCAGUGAUAGUCUCUCACAGCUCAGGGCACGGUCAGUGUGCUGAAUAAACAUGAUACAUACGCUGAUAUUCUGGAGUUACUGUGGGAAUAUUUGCCACUCAUGUCACUGCCACUCAUGACACUGCUAGUUUCAGAGAAGAGAUCUGACUCUUGACCGUGGGGUGCCUCAUCAUCUAGAGGAGAAGAACCAGACAGCAUGAAAACUACCUGCAAAUGAGGGUCUACCUUCAGUGGGGUAAGGGAACUACAGUU
Long non-coding RNA from Lagenorhynchus albirostris (white-beaked dolphin), 696 nucleotides. RefSeq lists it as uncharacterized. The record is from RefSeq and is a predicted model, not a curated record. NCBI's taxonomy places the organism in Eukaryota, Metazoa, Chordata, Mammalia, Artiodactyla, Delphinidae. The transcript has 4 exons.